UACGUAGGGGGCAAGCGUUGUCCGGAAUUAUUGGGCGUAAAGAGCGUGUAGGCGGUUUGUCGCGUCUGCCGUGAAAGUCCGGGGCUCAACUCCGGAUCUGCGGUGGGUACGGGCAGACUAGAGUGAUGUAGGGGAGACUGGAAUUCCUGGUGUAGCGGUGAAAUGCGCAGAUAUCAGGAGGAACACCGAUGGCGAAGGCAGGUCUCUGGGCAUUAACUGACGCUGAGGAGCGAAAGCAUGGGGAGCGAACAGG
This 253-nucleotide ribosomal RNA is filed under the name uncultured bacterium. Its description in RNAcentral is "partial 16S ribosomal RNA". It matches the Rfam family "Bacterial small subunit ribosomal RNA", at positions 524 to 776 of the family's 1533-position model. The record is from RNAcentral.